Molecule: unclassified non-coding RNA, 22 nt
Filed under: Caenorhabditis elegans
Lineage: Eukaryota; Metazoa; Nematoda; Chromadorea; Rhabditida; Rhabditidae
Description: spliced leader RNA
Source: RNAcentral
GGUUUUAACCCAUAUAACCAAG